UUAUUUGGAAGUAAAAAUCGUAACAAGGUCUCCGUAGGUGAACCUGCGGAGGGAUCAUUACACAAAUAUGAAGGCGGGCUGGAACCUCUCGGGGUUACAGCCUUGCUGAAUUAUUCACCCUUGUCUUUUGCGUACUUCUUGUUUCCUUGGUGGGUUCGCCCACCACUAGGACAAACAUAAACCUUUUGUAAUUGCAAUCAGCGUCAGUAACAAAUUAAUAAUUACAACUUUCAACAACGGAUCUCUUGGUUCUGGCAUCGAUGAAGAACGCAGCGAAAUGCGAUAAGUAGUGUGAAUUGCAGAAUUCAGUGAAUCAUCGAAUCUUUGAACGCACAUUGCGCCCUUUGGUAUUCCAAAGGGCAUGCCUGUUCGAGCGUCAUUUGUACCCUCAAGCUUUGCUUGGUGUUGGGCGUCUUGUCUCUAGCUUUGCUGGAGACUCGCCUUAAAGUAAUUGGCAGCCGGCCUACUGGUUUCGGAGCGCAGCACAAGUCGCACUCUCUAUCAGCAAAGGUCUAGCAUCCAUUAAGCCUUUUUUUCAACUUUGACCUCGAUCAGUAGGA
RNAcentral lists this ribosomal RNA (560 nucleotides) under Alternaria sp. YLN7. RNAcentral describes it as "eukaryotic LSU rRNA". The stretch from base 226 to 379 matches the Rfam family "5.8S ribosomal RNA". The record is from RNAcentral. Lineage: Eukaryota; Fungi; Ascomycota; Dothideomycetes; Pleosporales; Pleosporaceae.